Calidris pugnax (ruff) is the source of this 1174-nucleotide long non-coding RNA. RefSeq lists it as uncharacterized. The transcript has 4 exons. The record is from RefSeq and is a predicted model, not a curated record. NCBI's taxonomy places the organism in Eukaryota, Metazoa, Chordata, Aves, Charadriiformes, Scolopacidae.
AUUUUUUUUUUCUUUUUUGUUAUCCCCCAGAAAAGAAACAGAAAUCAAAACUACCGCUGUCAGAGUUUUCAGGCUUUCAGUUGGGGUGGUUUUUUUUUGUUGUUGUUGUUGGGUUGGUUUUUCUUGGUUUUGUUGUUUGGUUGUUGCAUUUGGAUUUUUUUUUUUUUCUAUAGAACUUGUAAAGUUUUGGACCUACCCUGUGUGUGUGUGUGUGUGAGUGUGUGUGUGUGCCCAGGCUCUAUCUGUCAAAGGGAGAGGGGCAGGAGCGUUUGCUUUGCAGCAGUGAACGCUCCCUGAAACUCACUCCAUCUCCAAGAAAGAUGCUGUAGCUUUAAAGAUGCUUUGACUUGAGGAUUAGUUUAAACAGGGGGCUAUAAAAGAUGUAACAGAUGCAAACUGUAAAACAAGGGCAAUUAACCCUUGCUCUCCUGAGCAGGAUCCCCCCCCCUCCCCUCUUCGCCUUCGCAUCUAUUGUCUUCUCCUGCACUGGGAGUUUUACACAAAAACCUAAAAAAAAUCAUUACCUGCCUCAACAAUACUACAAAAAACAUAAAAAUAUAUAGCAAAAAAGUGGGCUUUCUCCUCUCCUCUUUUUUUUUUUUUCCCUCCCCUUAUGUCUUUUUACUUUGCUGGAGCUUCACACCAGGACUGACCAGUGAAGUGUGCUGCUGCUGGGGCUUUUUUUAUUCCGCCUGAACUCUUCUUUCCAGGCGUUUGCGGUUAUCAAACCUGCUUGGCUUAAAAUAAAUCUGCGAGCAGAAAGACCAAGUCCCCCUUUCCUAGCGCUAAAACUUUUCCUGCUGCUUUGGGGAAAAAAAGGCACCUCCCGUACCUGGCUGACAGUUUUGGCCAGAAAUGGUGAGAAGAAAAAGCAUGAAGAAGCCGCGAAGUGGAGGAGAAAAGGUGAAGGGAGAUGCAGCUCCUGGAGAAAUUGUAAAAAAAGCCUUGCAAAAGAGUUGUCGGAAGGACCGUUAUUCCUGCUGGGCAGGAGCGAGAGGAGAGACCCUGAAACACACGCCACCUAUCUUUGUGGGGAGGGAUAAUUGAAGAGCACCAAACGUGAGCAUCAUGUGGAAACGUGAUCGGCCAAGUUUCUCUCUGGGAAAGGAUCUGGGAUAGAUUAUACCUUGAAGUCUCCGCGAACGCUUGAGCGGCAGAAAUGCAUAUUUCCACC